GAUGAACGCUGGCGGCGUGCCUAAUACAUGCAAGUCGAGCGAACGGACGAGAAGCUUGCUUCUCUGAUGUUAGCGGCGGACGGGUGAGUAACACGUGGAUAACCUACCUAUAAGACUGGGAUAACUUCGGGAAACCGUAGCUAAUACCGGAUAAUAUUUUGAACAGCAUGGUUCAAAAGUGAAAGACGGUCUUGCUGUCACUUAUAGAUGGAUCCGCGCUGCAUUAGCUAGUUGGUAAGGUAACGGCUUACCAAGGCAACGAUGCAUAGCCGACCUGAGAGGGUGAUCAGCCACACUGGAACUGAGACACGGUCCAGACUCCUACGGGAGGCAGCAGUAGGGAAUCUUCGGCAAUGGGCGAAAGCCUGACGGAGCAACGCCGCGUGAGUGAUGAAGGUCUUCGGAUCGUAAAACUCUGUUAUUAGGGAAGAACAUAUGUGUAAGUAACUGGGCACAUCUUGACGGUACCUAAUCAGAAAGCCACGGCUAACUACGUG
This 497-nucleotide ribosomal RNA is filed under the name uncultured bacterium. RNAcentral's name for it is "partial 16S ribosomal RNA". It matches the Rfam family "Bacterial small subunit ribosomal RNA", at positions 28 to 507 of the family's 1533-position model. The record is from RNAcentral.